GCACCUGUCAUCUUUGAAAUGUACUUUUUGACGUAUUGGAAGAAUUCUUUUCAAUUUCAAAAAAAGUAGGUAAAUAAAAAUUUUUGUGAAAAGAAAAAUGUCGGUAUCAAAAUGAAAUCAUGCUGAAAAAAGAUGCAAAUUUUUUAUCACAUGGAAUUUGUCUUGGAAUGAAUGCAGAUUUGCAACCUGGACAGACGCCCCCAUUUAUAUCCAUAACUCUAGUGCCACGAUGCAUGAACAACAGCAUCUAAAACAGCAACAUCAACAACAGCUACAGCAUCAUCAACUACAAAACUGCUGACUCCUGAUAUGAUGCGCCAGUCCAUUUUUUCAUAAAUCUCGGCUGCAGAAAUCAAUUCGAGGACAAGCACAAGAUGCAAAUAUAUCACAUGGAAUGAAUGAAAAAAAUAAUGGACACAGAGCCUCCGCCAAAAGUACAAAUAUUGUCUGGAUCAAUUGGAACAAUCGCCUAUACAGCCAGGACAACAAAUGUCCGGAAUGGGAUCUAACGUAAAAUUAAGUUCCUACGGAAUACUUCCAACAUCUUGAUCACACUUGCCAACGUGUGGAUAAUGUGAAUCGUGACAAUCGUAAACAGUUGGAAUGAUUUGGGAGCGAGAAAUGCUGAAUAUUUUGGGUAACUUUGUCAAUCGAGCUUUGGUGUUCUGUGAAAAGAACUACGACUCGACCAUUCCACCGAUGACUGACCAAAGACGAACACACAAUCAUCGGUUUGUGUUUUAACAUUGCUUGUUUGUUGGCGAGUCUGCUAUUCCCUUACAUAUCAACAACAGCAAGGACCAUUGGCAAGCAUUCUGCUUCCAGCUGGUCACAAAAUUGGAAAGCCAGCACCUUUGUUUGCCAAAAUCGAACAGGCUCGUAUUGAUGAACUCAAAAAGAAGUACGCUGGUCCCCCGGUUGUGAGAUCGACUUCUGGUGGUGCUUUGAAACAAAGCAAAGCAGUUUGGCAGCCUGAAGUCAAUAUUCUGUUGGAUCUUAAAAAAUAACUUGUCACUGCACAUCUCAAGCACCCGCAGAAACAAAAACUCCAACUGUGACUCCUACUCCCGCAAAUGAUGACAACAAAAUUAAAGAACUUGAAGAAAAAAUUGCAAAACAGGGUGAAAAAGUUCGAGAACUAAAGAGUUCAUCUGAUGCUGCCGUUUGGAAGCCUGAAGUUGAAGUUCUCAAGAAGGAUCUUUCUGCCAUUACUGGUGUAACAGAAUUACCAGCUUCAGGAAAGAACAAGAAGAAAUGAUAUCCGGUUAUUGGUUUUAUUUCAACACUUUACGCCCCAAGAUAUUGAGUACUGGUUUUUUCUACCUUUUUGUUUUAUUCUCUUCUCUUUUUUUAUUUUGUUGUUUAAUUCGAUUGCUCCAAUAAUUUAUUUGUUUUUUUUUUUUCUUUAAAUUAUUUUUUCUUUUUUUUUAAUUUUCAUAAAAAAGACAUAUUACAUGAAUUACUUGUUGGCAUUUAUUGUGAAAAAAUAAAAGUGAGAAUUAAUGUA
Episyrphus balteatus (marmalade hoverfly) is the source of this 1507-nucleotide long non-coding RNA. RefSeq lists it as uncharacterized. The record is from RefSeq and is a predicted model, not a curated record. Lineage: Eukaryota; Metazoa; Arthropoda; Insecta; Diptera; Syrphidae. The transcript has 4 exons.